RNA transcript from Rhodamnia argentea, 987 nucleotides. RefSeq lists it as uncharacterized. The record is from RefSeq and is a predicted model, not a curated record. Lineage: Eukaryota; Viridiplantae; Streptophyta; Magnoliopsida; Myrtales; Myrtaceae. The transcript has 3 exons.
UCUCUCUCUCUCUCUCUCUCUCUCUCUCUCUCUCGUUCCAGCAAAUUCCAAUCCUCUCUCACUUGGCGAAGAUUCUCUCUCCCUCUCUCUCUAGGAAGGUCGACGAUGUUGACGAUGGCUCGCUGUCUCUCCCCUUCCCUCGCCCUCCCCAAGACCUCCUCCUCCCUCCUCCUCGCCCUCCGCGCCCACUCCAGCCACUCCUCCUCCUCCUCCUCUCCGGACUUCGUCGUCGUCGGCGGUGACUCCUCCUCCUCCGACCCCCUCCUCGGCAAGCUCGAGGACGUCAUCCACCACCUCAUUGUCCGCCGAUCCGAGCCCGACUGGCUCCCCUUCCGCCCCGGCUCCUCCUACUGGGUCCCCCCACGCUCCAAGUCCCGCGGCAUCGCCCAGCUCAUCGGCAGGCUCGCCUCCUCCUCCUCCCCCCUCGCCGACUCCCUCCUCUCCUCCUCCUCCUCCUCCUGCGCCGCCGCCUCUCCCCACGGCUGGCCCUCCUCUUCCUUCUUCAUCCACGGCGCGCUUCCGUCUGCUUAUCCUGAGGAAGCUGUGCAGACAUUAGAUACCGAAUCUCAGUCUGAGGAUGAGGAAGGAUGAAGCUACUGCAUCCCGCUUUGGAGCUUGCAUCGGAGGUGACACAGCCUCUCCUUUCUCUGGGUUGGUUUCGUGUCUCAGCGACCUUCUGAUGAGAACUAGACGAAGGCCAAAGGAUGCUGAUGUAUCAACUGACUGACAGGCGAAGUGGUCAGAGGGAGGCUUGUACAGAUGACCUGGAUAAUAGCUAGCAAAAGGCAGCGUAGUUUCUUCAAGACACUGUUGUUCUUCAUGAUGAUUGCCGCUCGAUCAAAAUUUGUGGUUCUUCCUUGUACUGCUAUAAAGUCAUGUAAGAUGUUUGUUUCUCAUGGUUUGUACAUAACGUGAAAUCUUUUCUUUCGGUGAGAACUCGUAAGUGUAAUUUAUACACAACAUUCAUAUUUGUGUGGGUUUUAGCUC